RNAcentral lists this ribosomal RNA (490 nucleotides) under uncultured Sphingobacteriales bacterium. Its description in RNAcentral is "bacterial SSU rRNA". It matches the Rfam family "Bacterial small subunit ribosomal RNA", at positions 904 to 1382 of the family's 1533-position model. Lineage: Bacteria; Pseudomonadati; Bacteroidota; Sphingobacteriia; Sphingobacteriales. The record is from RNAcentral.
CCCGCUCAGAAACUCAAGGAAUUGACGGGGGCCCGCACAAGCGGUGGAGCAUGUGGUUUAAUUCGAUGAUACGCGAGGAACCUUACCUGGGCUCAAAUGUAUGUUGACGUAUUCUGAAAGGGAUACUUCUUCGGACAAUAUACAAGGUGCUGCAUGGUUGUCGUCAGCUCGUGCCGUGAGGUGUCGGGUUAAGUCCCAUAACGAGCGCAACCCCUAUCAUUAGUUGCCAUCAGGUCAAGCUGGGGACUCUAAUGAAACUGCCUACGCAAGUAGUGAGGAAGGUGGGGAUGACGUCAAAUCAGCACGGCCCUUACGUCCAGGGCUACACACGUGCUACAAUGGCCGGUACAAAGGGCAGCUACCUGGUGACAGGAUGCUAAUCUCAAAAGCCGGUCUCAGUUCGGAUCGGAGUCUGCAACUCGACUCCAUGAAGUUGGAAUCGCUAGUAAUCGUGGAUCAGCAUGCCACGGUGAAUACGUUCCCGGGCCUU